This 160-nucleotide ribosomal RNA is filed under the name uncultured bacterium. Its description in RNAcentral is "partial 16S ribosomal RNA". It matches the Rfam family "Bacterial small subunit ribosomal RNA", at positions 355 to 507 of the family's 1533-position model. The record is from RNAcentral.
UGGGGAAUUUUGGACAAUGGGCGCAAGCCUGAUCCAGCAAUGCCGCGUGCAGGAUGAAGGCNUUCGGGUUGUAAACUGCUUUUGUACGGAACGAAACGGUCUUUUCUAAUACAGAAGGCUAAUGACGGUACCGUAAGAAUAAGCACCGGCUAAUUACGUG